GAACGCACUCUCGUUAGAUUGAAGAAGCUUGCUUCUGAUUGAUAACAUUUGAGUGAGUGGCGGACGGGUGAGUAACACGUGGGUAACCUGCCCUAAAGUGGGGGAUAACAUUUGGAAACAGAUGCUAAUACCGCAUAAAACCUAGCACCGCAUGGUGCAAGGUUGAAAGAUGGUUUCGGCUAUCACUUUAGGAUGGACCCGCGGUGCAUUAGUUAGUUGGUGAGGUAAAGGCUCACCAAGACCGUGAUGCAUAGCCGACCUGAGAGGGUAAUCGGCCACACUGGGACUGAGACACGGCCCAGACUCCUACGGGAGGCAGCAGUAGGGAAUCUUCCACAAUGGACGAAAGUCUGAUGGAGCAACGCCGCGUGAGUGAAGAAGGUUUUCGGAUCGUAAAACUCUGUUGUUGGAGAAGAACGUAUUUGAUAGUAACUGAUCAGGUAGUGACGGUAUCCAACCAGAAAGCCACGGCUAACUACGUGCCAGCAGCCGCGGUAAUACGUAGGUGGCAAGCGUUGUCCGGAUUUAUUGGGCGUAAAGCGAGCGCAGGCGGUUUCUUAAGUCUGAUGUGAAAGCCUUCGGCUCAACCGAAGAAGUGCAUCGGAAACUGGGAAACUUGAGUGCAGAAGAGGACAGUGGAACUCCAUGUGUAGCGGUGAAAUGCGUAGAUAUAUGGAAGAACACCAGUGGCGAAGGCGGCUGUCUGGUCUGUAACUGACGCUGAGGCUCGAAAGCAUGGGUAGCAAACAGGAUUAGAUACCCUGGUAGUCCAUGCCGUAACGAUGAGUGCUAGGUGUUGGAGGGUUUCCGCCCUUCAGUGCCGCAGCUAACGCAUAA
Molecule: ribosomal RNA, 837 nt
Filed under: Latilactobacillus curvatus
Lineage: Bacteria; Bacillati; Bacillota; Bacilli; Lactobacillales; Lactobacillaceae
Description: bacterial SSU rRNA
Rfam family: Bacterial small subunit ribosomal RNA
Source: RNAcentral